GCCGAGGUUGCCAACGUGGCUCAAGGCGCUGGUCUGAAGAACCAGUUAUGGGGGUUCGAUUCCCUCCCUCGGCACCA
RNAcentral lists this transfer RNA (77 nucleotides) under candidate division WWE3 bacterium CG_4_10_14_0_2_um_filter_41_14. RNAcentral's name for it is "tRNA-Phe". It matches the Rfam family "tRNA". From Rfam's summary of the family: Transfer RNA (tRNA) molecules are approximately 80 nucleotides in length. Their secondary structure includes four short double-helical elements and three loops (D, anti-codon, and T loops). Lineage: Bacteria; candidate division WWE3. The record is from RNAcentral.